GAGGGUAUAGUUCAGUGGUAGAGUGCAUGCUUAGCAUGCACAAGGUCCUGGAUUCAAUCCCCAGUACCUCCA
Molecule: transfer RNA, 72 nt
Filed under: Camelus bactrianus (Bactrian camel)
Lineage: Eukaryota; Metazoa; Chordata; Mammalia; Artiodactyla; Camelidae
Also listed under: 2 other names
Rfam family: tRNA
About the family: Transfer RNA (tRNA) molecules are approximately 80 nucleotides in length.
Source: Rfam by way of RNAcentral